This is a small nucleolar RNA of Hibiscus syriacus, 215 nucleotides long. RefSeq annotates it as small nucleolar RNA U3. The record is from RefSeq and is a predicted model, not a curated record. Lineage: Eukaryota; Viridiplantae; Streptophyta; Magnoliopsida; Malvales; Malvaceae. The transcript has a single exon.
ACGACCUUACUUGAACAGGAUCGUUCUAUAGGAUCGUACUUGUGUAUCCUUGAGUUCUAAGGAGACAGGAUUCAAUGGUUGAUGAACCCAGACUGUGUGAUCAGAGCUUGAUUAUUGGUCUGCAGUCUAUUACAUAGGGACUUCAUUGGCCGCAGAGGAUCGUUCUCGGCAUGCCCUUGUCUUGCUGGGAUGGUCGCGCAGUUGUCUGACCAUUC